RNAcentral lists this transfer RNA (70 nucleotides) under Aedes aegypti (yellow fever mosquito). RNAcentral describes it as "partial tRNA-OTHER". Lineage: Eukaryota; Metazoa; Arthropoda; Insecta; Diptera; Culicidae. The record is from RNAcentral.
CCAACGAUGGCUUAGUCGGUAGCGUGCGCGACUCUCACGCGGGGGUCACCGGUUAGAAAACGGUUCGGGA